Molecule: ribosomal RNA, 1243 nt
Filed under: 'Brachycome sp.' yellows and little leaf phytoplasma
Lineage: Bacteria; Bacillati; Mycoplasmatota; Mollicutes; Acholeplasmatales; Acholeplasmataceae
Description: bacterial SSU rRNA
Rfam family: Bacterial small subunit ribosomal RNA
Source: RNAcentral
AAACUACUGCUAAGACUGGAUAGGAGACAAGAAGGCAUCUUCUUGUUUUUAAAAGACCUAGUAAUAGGUAUGCUUAGGGAGGAGCUUGCGUCACAUUAGUUAGUUGGUGGGGUAAAGGCCUACCAAGACUAUGAUGUGUAGCCGGGCUGAGAGGUUGAACGGCCACAUUGGGACUGAGACACGGCCCAAACUCCUACGGGAGGCAGCAGUAGGGAAUUUUCGGCAAUGGAGGAAACUCUGACCGAGCAACGCCGCGUGAACGAUGAAGUAUUUCGGUACGUAAAGUUCUUUUAUUAGGGAAGAAUAAAUGAUGGAAAAAUCAUUCUGACGGUACCUAAUGAAUAAGCCCCGGCUAACUAUGUGCCAGCAGCCGCGGUAAUACAUAGGGGGCAAGCGUUAUCCGGAAUUAUUGGGCGUAAAGGGUGCGUAGGCGGUUAAAUAAGUUUAUGGUCUAAGUGCAAUGCUCAACAUUGUGAUGCUAUAAAAACUGUUUAGCUAGAGUAAGAUAGAGGCAAGUGGAAUUCCAUGUGUAGUGGUAAAAUGCGUAAAUAUAUGGAGGAACACCAGUAGCGAAGGCGGCUUGCUGGGUCUUUACUGACGCUGAGGCACGAAAGCGUGGGGAGCAAACAGGAUUAGAUACCCUGGUAGUCCACGCCGUAAACGAUGAGUACUAAACGUUGGGUAAAACCAGUGUUGAAGUUAACACAUUAAGUACUCCGCCUGAGUAGUACGUACGCAAGUAUGAAACUUAAAGGAAUUGACGGGACUCCGCACAAGCGGUGGAUCAUGUUGUUUAAUUCGAAGGUACCCGAAAAACCUCACCAGGUCUUGACAUGCUUCUGCAAAGCUGUAGAAACACAGUGGAGGUUAUCAGUUGCACAGGUGGUGCAUGGUUGUCGUCAGCUCGUGUCGUGAGAUGUUGGGUUAAGUCCCGCAACGAGCGCAACCCUUAUUGUUAGUUACCAGCACGUAAUGGUGGGGACUUUAGCAAGACUGCCAGUGAUAAAUUGGAGGAAGGUGGGGACGACGUCAAAUCAUCAUGCCCCUUAUGACCUGGGCUACAAACGUGAUACAAUGGCUGUUACAAAGGGUAGCUGAAGCGCAAGUUUUUGGCGAAUCUCAAAAAAACAGUCUCAGUUCGGAUUGAAGUCUGCAACUCGACUUCAUGAAGUUGGAAUCGCUAGUAAUCGCGAAUCAGCAUGUCGCGGUGAAUACGUUCUCGGGGUUUGUACACACCGCCCGU